UGAGGCAGGAGAAUCGCUUGAACCUGGGAGGCGGAGGUUGCAGUGAGCCGAGAUCGCACCAUUGCACUCCAGCCUGGGCAACAGAGACUCCGUCUCAAAAAAAAAAAAA
This 109-nucleotide microRNA precursor is filed under the name Chlorocebus sabaeus (green monkey). RNAcentral's name for it is "miRNA (ENSCSAG00000023663.1)". Lineage: Eukaryota; Metazoa; Chordata; Mammalia; Primates; Cercopithecidae. The record is from RNAcentral.